AUUGAACGCUGGCGGCACGCUUAACACAUGCAAGUCGAACGGCAGCACGAGAGGGGUUACCCUCUGGGUGGCGAGUGGGGGACGGGGGUGUAACGCGUAGGGAUAUCUACCUUAGCGUGGGGUAUACCGUGGAGAAACUGCGUCUAAUAGCGUAUGCUCUGUGGGGGUAAGAUUGGGGGUUGGAAACAGCUCACUCGCUGAUAGGUGAACAGGCGUUAGAUUAGCUAGUUGGUGGGGUAAAGGCCUACCAAGGCGAUGAUCUAUAGCUGGUCUGAGAGGAUGACCAGCCACACUGGAACUGAGACACGGACCAGACUCCUACGGGAGGCAGCAGUGGGGAAUAUUGGACAAUGGGGGCAACCCUGAUCCAGCGAUGCCGCGUGGGUGAAGAAGGCCUGCGGGUUGUAAAGCACUUUUGUUGGUGAGGAAAGGGGAUGGGUUAAUAGCGCGUUGUAGUGACGUUAGCCAAAGAAUAAGCACCGGCUAACUCCGUG
This 494-nucleotide ribosomal RNA is filed under the name uncultured bacterium. Its description in RNAcentral is "partial 16S ribosomal RNA". It matches the Rfam family "Bacterial small subunit ribosomal RNA", at positions 30 to 507 of the family's 1533-position model. The record is from RNAcentral.